GACGAACGCUGGCGGCGUGCUUAACACAUGCAAGUCGAACGGAAAGGCCCUGCUUUUGUGGGGUGCUCGAGUGGCGAACGGGUGAGUAACACGUGAGUAACCUGCCCUUGACUUUGGGAUAACUUCAGGAAACUGGGGCUAAUACCGGAUAGGAGCUCCUGCUGCAUGGUGGUGGUUGGAAAGUUUCGGCGGUUGGGGAUGGACUCGCGGCUUAUCAGCUUGUUGGUGGGGUAGUGGCUUACCAAGGCUUUGACGGGUAGCCGGCCUGAGAGGGUGACCGGCCACAUUGGGACUGAGAUACGGACCAGACGCGUACGGGAGGCAGCAGUGGGGAAUAUUGCACAAUGGGCGGAAGCCUGAGGCAGAAACGCCGCGUGCGGGAUGACGGCCUUCGGGUUGUAAACCGCUUUCGCCUGUGACGAAGCGUGAGUGACGGUAAUGGGUAAAGAAGCACCGGCUAACUACGUG
RNAcentral lists this ribosomal RNA (468 nucleotides) under uncultured bacterium. Its description in RNAcentral is "partial 16S ribosomal RNA". It matches the Rfam family "Bacterial small subunit ribosomal RNA", at positions 28 to 507 of the family's 1533-position model. The record is from RNAcentral.